Molecule: ribosomal RNA, 25 nt
Filed under: Phytophthora megakarya
Lineage: Eukaryota; Oomycota; Peronosporomycetes; Peronosporales; Peronosporaceae
Also listed under: 3 other names
Description: partial 28S ribosomal RNA
Source: RNAcentral
UUGGACCUGAUAUCAGGCAAGAUUA